Molecule: non-coding RNA, 48 nt
Filed under: Hoeflea sp. IMCC20628
Lineage: Bacteria; Pseudomonadati; Pseudomonadota; Alphaproteobacteria; Hyphomicrobiales; Rhizobiaceae
Also listed under: 1 other name
Description: Guanidine-II riboswitch aptamer (mini-ykkC)
Rfam family: Guanidine-II riboswitch aptamer (mini-ykkC)
About the family: Simpler in structure and has fewer highly conserved nucleotide positions than the ykkC-yxkD leader. Despite this each of its two stem-loop structures directly bind free guanidine.
Source: Rfam by way of RNAcentral
AAGCGAGGACGACCUCCCCAAUCGGAAAAACCAGCCGGGACGACCCGG